RNAcentral lists this long non-coding RNA (2196 nucleotides) under Homo sapiens (human). Its description in RNAcentral is "HSALNT0385412". Lineage: Eukaryota; Metazoa; Chordata; Mammalia; Primates; Hominidae. The record is from RNAcentral.
UUUCCGCGGCACGCACGCACGCCCGCACUCCCACGGGAGUCAGUUUCUCACCAGCUGAAUUAUUUGAAUUUAGCACCACUAAAAGUGGAGCAAUCAGAAAUACUCUAUGCAGUGAUUACUUCUGGCUGUGAUACAUAAAAACAGGAAAAUCUCAAUAGAGAAAAAAUACGUAUUGAUGAUACAUAAUCUGGAUUUUUCCAAAGAACAAAAACUAUGAAUUGGGUUGCAAGGAUUUCAUGUUAAGACAACAGUAAGAAUAAAGACAUGGAGUAGAAGAUACACACGUUGAGUAGGUUUAACAGGCCUGAGCAAAAGAUGCAUAUAAUGAAACGUCACAAGAACAGACUAGAAAUUCCUCUAAGCCUGUUGCGAGAGCCAAAGAAAAUACAUCUGUAUUUGACUGUUGAUAAUGAGGAAUUUCUGAAAGGUUGACCUAUAGAAGUUCUGAAAAAAUGCUUCUAAACAAACCAGAUUCCUUUGUCAAACAGAUAAGGGAAAUUAUGGAUAUGUAAUGCCACUUUAGAAAUUUCAAAUGCACAUUAACAAAGCAACAGCAAAAAGCAAACCCCAUUUAACAUUGUUUAACCUAGAUUUUAUGAACUUAUUUACCAAGGAAACUCUCCCAUCUGUAUUUCCCUACUUGUAAUACUUAUUAAGAAUCACUAUUUUGGUGUCGUUGGAAUUUACUUAGAGAAAUGCGGUCUAACCUCUGCUUUAAGAAGACAACUCUGGCAGAACUAUCAAUUGGAAAAAGAGAGUUUAGAUGCUAGGAGGCCAUUAUAAUAGCUCACUUGAGAGCUAAUCUGUGCAUGACUCUGAUGGGAGAAAAUAAAACUGAGAAAAAGGCAUGCAUUGGAGGCAACAAUCCUUGGAAUGUGAUUGACUGUAGAGAAUAAUGAAUGUGGAAGACCCAGAACAGACUUUAAAAUGUUAAGCCCAAAUGACUGUCUGACAGGUGGUAUCUGUAACAAAAAUUGGAAACUCUGAAGGAAGAACAAGAUUCUGAGGAAACGACUAAUUUUUUAAUGUGUUGAGCUUGAGGGCCUGCUUUGGAACUAACAGGCAGCUGAAGAUUUCAUUUCAUGUCAAAGAAACUUAAUUUAAAAUCCAUCAAGUACUAAACUCAGAGCUAAAUGUGAAGGACUGAAAUACCAACUUGCCCACCAUGUUAGGUUUAUGAGAGCUCAAUGCAGAAAUGCCUCUGAAGUGGGAAAAUCUAUAAUUUCUCCGAAGAAGCACUGUCUGUGCUCUGGAGGUCAGAAAAUUUCUAGACUCAUGUCUUCAUUAGGGUAGAUCGAGAAGCCUUUUAGAAAUUAAAUUUUGGACAUGCCCAUGUGUCCUCUGAGCCUGUCCUUUCUGUCAGAAGUCACGCAGAGACCCAAAUGUCAAAAAGGGACACACUCUUUUGUUGAUGCACAAGAUUGUGGCAUUCCAAUCUCUUUCUGAAAAUACAUUAUUGGAUUCUUUGCAGCCAAAUUCUUAAGAAAAGUUUGGUAUUGGAGACUAAUAUUCCAUGAAGAAUUACCUGAAGCAUGAGGAAAUCAUCCCUUUAGAUCAGUGGAUUUUUUGCUUUAAUUUUUAAAUUGACACAUCAUUGUACAUAUUUAUAGGGUAUAGGGUGAUAUUUUGAUUAGAUCAGUGUUUUAUAUAGCAUGUUAUGUAAAGCUUCUGAGAAGAGUCAGGGAGCAUCUUAGAAAGCAAAAUGGAGUCUGUAAACAGACAUGUAAUGAAUACUAAGACAUGUAAUGAAUCUUCAUGCCCUCCCAGAUAUUUCAGAGACAUCCAGUUAUGUUGGGAUCACGUGGAAAGAUCUAAGAGACUCUGAGGUGAAGUGCCAUGAAUCACUCUGGGGCUGAGGCAGUAAAAAGCCCCUGCCUCCUUCCCAGGUUCUCUCCUUUUCCACUUCCAGUACUUUGAAGGUUACGUGCAAUGUGUGUCAUAGGUUAAUGAUAGAGGAGUUUAUUCUGACUGACAUUGAACUUUAUGGGAGCAACCCACAAACUUUGGUGUGGUUGAGCCACUGAGAAUUCAAGCUUAGUAUCUUCUUGUUGCUGUUGCUGUUUACCAACACUGUGGUAUUUCUACAGGGCUCAAGCGGGCAGAGAAAUUCCAUGUGAACAAGAAUGUCUCAUGUUGGGCUUCUGUAUAAAUUGUGCUGUUGAAAAAUGUUAAGCAGAUAAAAAUUUUAGAAAUUCA